Non-coding RNA from Phascolarctos cinereus (koala), 483 nucleotides. NCBI's taxonomy places the organism in Eukaryota, Metazoa, Chordata, Mammalia, Diprotodontia, Phascolarctidae. The record is from RefSeq and is a predicted model, not a curated record.
CAAUAUUUUCUUUUUGACCUGGGAAUUCUAGAAUUUGCUACUGGAGGAAACAUGAGGUCCUUGGAGGGUUCUGCCGUCCACUGAAGAGCCAUCCACUCUUGAGUCCGCACACACAAGUUUGUCAACUGCGGGAGUAGUCAGCAGCAUCUGCUAAUCUUUCCAGGAUGAUAUUGAACAUCCUUGUUUCAACCCCGAUCUUAUUGGAAAGCUUCUAGGUUGUUGCCAUUAUACUUGCUGAAAGUUUUAGAGAUUUUUGACAAAGAAAGAGGAUCUCUCUAUAUAAGAAAUUUUGAGAAGACAGUUUGCUGGAGUUUGGUUGGCAGCACUCCAACCAAGAAACUUUGUAAGAUGAUGUCCUGAACACCAGACAGCAGUAUGAGAGGAGACUUCUGAAGGCUUCUGAAUCAAAGGAGAGGUGAUUACUCCUUUCCUAGCUUGUGUUCUGGUUCAUGAGUGACCACAAGCACUCUUUUCUGCCUUGGA